CGGGGCGUGGCUCAGCUUGGUAGAGCGCUUGAAUGGGGUUCAAGAGGUCACAGGUUCAAGUCCUGUCGCCCCGA
This 74-nucleotide transfer RNA is filed under the name bacterium. RNAcentral's name for it is "tRNA-Pro". It matches the Rfam family "tRNA". Rfam says of the family: Transfer RNA (tRNA) molecules are approximately 80 nucleotides in length. The record is from RNAcentral. RNAcentral also lists the same sequence under 1 other name.